UUGAGAAUGUUGCCUGUCUGAGCCCUGAGAUGAGCUGAGGGUUCCUCCUCCCCAGCCAGCGCCAGCCUCACACAGCCCUUGUAAAUCUGAAAGUGCUGUUGGUAGCAACCAGGGAUGGGCAGAGGCAGCCCUGUCCUGAGGGUGACAUGAAAGUGAGAGCAAGCUGAAGCUCCAGUUGGCUUAGUCUUCAAAAGUGUCACUUUCAGAUUAUAUCCCUCAGCUUUAAAAUGUCCUUCUUUGAAGUCCAUCCUGCUCCGCCCACUAUUUGUCCCCGGUGGUCACUUCCUCCUCUGUGCUCCCAUGGCCUGGGAUUCACACCAGGAAAGAACGCCACGAAGAAGGAAUGACAAGAAAAUGGAGGCAAAGAACAUUGGAGUCACUCCCUGGCUACACACGCUGAGGUGAUAACCAAGGUGCUCAAAAAGGGCCGGUGUGCAGCAGUGAGUGCCAGUUUGAAUGAAGGAAGCAUGCGUGGCCUGAAGCCUCACCGUGUUCCAGGCGUCCAGUUAAGUGCUCUGCACAUAAUAUCGCACAUUGCGCUCCACGAUAAGGGUCUGGAAAGCAAUCCUCCACAGAAAGAAAGCAGAAUCUUCUGGGCAUUUCUGAGCAAGUGGACUUCCUUCAGCUGAGCACAGUCUUCAGGAGAAGCGGACAGGUGCAAAGUGUUGGAAGCCAACACUCACAGCAGUUGGGGGUUGGAGUGCUCUGGCUUCCAACAGCAUUGAAACCAACAGCAUUGACUACAG
RNAcentral lists this long non-coding RNA (746 nucleotides) under Pan troglodytes (chimpanzee). RNAcentral's name for it is "lincRNA". The record is from RNAcentral. Lineage: Eukaryota; Metazoa; Chordata; Mammalia; Primates; Hominidae.